AUUGAACGCUGGCGGCAUGCCUUACACAUGCAAGUCGAACGGCAGCACGGGUGCUUGCACCUGGUGGCGAGUGGCGAACGGGUGAGUAAUACAUCGGAACGUACCUUAUCGUGGGGGAUAACGCAGCGAAAGUUGCGCUAAUACCGCAUAAGCCCUGAGGGGGAAAGCGGGGGACCGUAAGGCCUCGCGCGAUUAGAGCGGCCGAUGUCUGAUUAGCUUGUUGGUGAAGUAAAAGCUCACCAAGGCGAUGAUCAGUAGCUGGUCUGAGAGGACGAUCAGCCACACUGGGACUGAGACACGGCCCAGACUCCUACGGGAGGCAGCAGUGGGGAAUUUUGGACAAUGGGGGCAACCCUGAUCCAGCAAUGCCGCGUGAGUGAAGAAGGCCUUCGGGUUGUAAAGCUCUUUUGUCAGGGAAGAAACAGCAGCUCUAACACAGUCUGCGAAUGACGGUACCUGAAGAAUAAGCACCGGCUAACUACGUGCCAGCAGCCGCCGUAA
This 501-nucleotide ribosomal RNA is filed under the name uncultured bacterium. RNAcentral describes it as "partial 16S ribosomal RNA". It matches the Rfam family "Bacterial small subunit ribosomal RNA", at positions 30 to 523 of the family's 1533-position model. The record is from RNAcentral.